This 604-nucleotide ribosomal RNA is filed under the name uncultured bacterium. RNAcentral describes it as "bacterial SSU rRNA". It matches the Rfam family "Bacterial small subunit ribosomal RNA", at positions 331 to 927 of the family's 1533-position model. The record is from RNAcentral.
CCAGACUCCUACGGGAGGCAGCAGUAGGGAAUCUUCGGCAAUGGACGAAAGUCUGACCGAGCAACGCCGCGUGAGUGAAGAAGGUUUUCGGAUCGUAAGACUCUGUUGGUAGAGAAGAACGUUGGUGAGAGUGGAAAGCUCAUCAAGUGACGGUAACUACCCAGAAAGGGACGGCUAACUACGUGCCAGCAGCCGCGGUAAUACGUAGGUCCCGAGCGUUGUCCGGAUUUAUUGGGCGUAAAGCGAGCGCAGGUGGUUUAUUAAGUCUGGUGUAAAAGGCAGUGGCUCAACCAUUGUAUGCAUUGGAAACUGGUAGACUUGAGUGCAGGAGAGGAGAGUGGAAUUCCAUGUGUAGCGGUGAAGUGCGUAGAUAUAUGGAGGAACACCGGUGGCGAAAGCGGCUCUCUGGCCUGUAACUGACACUGAGGCUCGAAAGCGUGGGGAGCAAACAGGAUUAGAUACCCUGGUGGUCCACGCCGUAAACGAUGAGUGCUAGAUGUAGGGAGCUAUAAGUUCUCUGUAUCGCAGCUAACGCAAUAAGCACUCCGCCUGGGGAGUACGACCGCAAGGUUGAUACUCAAAGGAAUUGACGGGGGCCCGCACA